UCAGGUGCCUAUAUCGGCGGUGUCCACCUCUUCCCAUUCCGAACAGAGAAGUUAAGCCCGCCAGAGCCGAUGGUACUGCGGUAACACGUGGGAGAGUAGGUCGGUGCCAACC
RNAcentral lists this ribosomal RNA (112 nucleotides) under Arcticibacter tournemirensis. Lineage: Bacteria; Pseudomonadati; Bacteroidota; Sphingobacteriia; Sphingobacteriales; Sphingobacteriaceae. The record is from RNAcentral.